This 1014-nucleotide ribosomal RNA is filed under the name uncultured bacterium. RNAcentral describes it as "bacterial SSU rRNA". It matches the Rfam family "Bacterial small subunit ribosomal RNA", at positions 359 to 1376 of the family's 1533-position model. The record is from RNAcentral.
GAAUAUUGGUCAAUGGACGAGAGUCUGAACCAGCCAAGUAGCGUGAAGGAUGACUGCCCUAUGGGUUGUAAACUUCUUUUAUAUGGGAAUAAAGUAUUCCACGUGUGGGAUUUUGUAUGUACCAUAUGAAUAAGGAUCGGCUAACUCCGUGCCAGCAGCCGCGGUAAUACGGAGGAUCCGAGCGUUAUCCGGAUUUAUUGGGUUUAAAGGGAGCGUAGGUGGAUUGUUAAGUCAGUUGUGAAAGUUUGCGGCUCAACCGUAAAAUUGCAGUUGAAACUGGCAGUCUUGAGUACAGUAGAGGUGGGCGGAAUUCGUGGUGUAGCGGUGAAAUGCUUAGAUAUCACGAAGAACUCCGAUUGCGAAGGCAGCUCACUAGACUGCAACUGACACUGAUGCUCGAAAGUGUGGGUAUCAAACAGGAUUAGAUACCCUGGUAGUCCACACAGUAAACGAUGAAUACUCGCUGUUUGCGAUAUACAGUAAGCGGCCAAGCGAAAGCAUUAAGUAUUCCACCUGGGGAGUACGCCGGCAACGGUGAAACUCAAAGGAAUUGACGGGGGCCCGCACAAGCGGAGGAACAUGUGGUUUAAUUCGAUGAUACGCGAGGAACCUUACCCGGGCUUAAAUUGCAAAUGAAUAAUCUGGAAACAGGUUAGCCGCAAGGCAUUUGUGAAGGUGCUGCAUGGUUGUCGUCAGCUCGUGCCGUGAGGUGUCGGCUUAAGUGCCAUAACGAGCGCAACCCUUAUCUUUAGUUACUAACAGGUCAUGCUGAGGACUCUAGAGAGACUGCCGUCGUAAGAUGUGAGGAAGGUGGGGAUGACGUCAAAUCAGCACGGCCCUUACGUCCGGGGCUACACACGUGUUACAAUGGGGGGUACAGAAGGCAGCUACCACGCAAGUGGAUGCCAAUCCCAAAAACCUCUCUCAGUUCGGAUUGAAGUCUGCAACCCGACUUCAUGAAGCUGGAUUCGCUAGUAAUCGCGCAUCAGCCACGGCGCGGUGAAUACGUUCCCG